AUUGAACGCUGGCGGCAGGCUUAACACAUGCAAGUCGAGCGGUAGCACCGGGGAGCUGGCUGCCUGGGGGACGAGCGGCGGACGGGUGAGUAAUGUCUGGGCAACUGCCUGAUGGAGGGGGAUAACUACUGGAAACGGUAGCUACUACCGCAUAACGUCGCAAGACCAGAGAGGGGGACCUUCGUUCCUCUUGCCGUCAGAUGUUCCCAGAUGGGAUUAGCUAGGAGGGGGGGUAAUGUCUCCCCUAGGCGACCAUCCCUAGGGGGUCUGAGAGGAUGACCAGCCACACUGGAACUGAGACACGGUCCAGACUCCUGCGGGAGGCAGCAGUGGGGAAUAUGACACAAUGGGCGCAAGCCUGAUGCAGCCAUGCCGCGUGUGUGAAGAAGGCCUUCGGGUUGUAAAGCACUUUCAGCGAGGAGGAAGGUGGUGAGCUUAAUACGUUCAUCAAUUGACGUUACUCGCAGAAGAAGCACCGGCUAACUACGUG
RNAcentral lists this ribosomal RNA (490 nucleotides) under uncultured bacterium. RNAcentral's name for it is "partial 16S ribosomal RNA". It matches the Rfam family "Bacterial small subunit ribosomal RNA", at positions 30 to 507 of the family's 1533-position model. The record is from RNAcentral.